Molecule: ribosomal RNA, 440 nt
Filed under: uncultured bacterium
Lineage: Bacteria
Description: partial 16S ribosomal RNA
Rfam family: Bacterial small subunit ribosomal RNA
Source: RNAcentral
CCUACGGGGCGCAGCAGUAGGGAAUAUUGCUCAAUGGGGGAAACCCUGAAGCAGCAACGCCGCGUGGAGGAUGAAGGUUUUCGGAUUGUAAACUCCUUUUGUUAGAGAAGAUAAUGACGGUAUCUAACGAAUAAGCACCGGCUAACUCCGUGCCAGCAGCCGCGGUAAUACGGAGGGUGCAAGCGUUACUCGGAAUAACUGGGCGUAAAGGGCGCGUAGGCGGGUUAGCAAGUCAGAUGUGAAAUCCUAUGGCUUAACCCUAGAACUGCAUUUGAAACUGUUAUUCUAGAGUAUGGGAGAGGUAUGUGGAAUGCUUGGUGUAGGGGUAAAAUCCGUAGAGAUCAAGAGGAAUACUCAUUGCGAAGGCGACCUGCUAGAACAUAACUGACGCUGAUGCGCGAAAGCGUGGGGAGCAAACAGGAUUAGAUACCCGAGUAGUC